GAUCUUUAUAUAUUAAGUAAUUUAAUAAAAAUAAGAUAAUUUUUUUUUUAAGUUAUUAAUAUAUUUUAUUGGGGUAAUAAUAAAAUUUUAAUAAUUUUUAAUUUUUAAAUUCAAUAAUAUUUGUUUUUUUGAUCCAUUAAUAUUGAUUAUAAAGUUAAGUUACCUUAGGGAUAACAGCGUAAUGAUUUUUGAGAGUUCUUAUCAAUAAAAUAGUUUGU
This 218-nucleotide ribosomal RNA is filed under the name Trichophoromyia ininii. RNAcentral's name for it is "partial 16S ribosomal RNA". Lineage: Eukaryota; Metazoa; Arthropoda; Insecta; Diptera; Psychodidae. The record is from RNAcentral.